CCCUACGGGGGGCAGCAGUGGGGAAUAUUGGACAAUGGGGGCAACCCUGAUCCAGCAAUGCCGCGUGUGUGAAGAAGGCCUGCGGGUUGUAAAGCACUUUCAGUAGGGAAGAAAAGCUCGGGACUAAUACUCUCGGGUCUUGACGUUACCUAAAGAAGAAGCACCGGCUAACUCCGUGCCAGCAGCCGCGGUAAUACGGAGGGUGCGAGCGUUAAUCGGAAUUACUGGGCGUAAAGCGCACGUAGGCGGUCGGAUAAGUCGGAUGUGAAAGCCCUGGGCUUAACCUGGGAACUGCAUUCGAUACUGUCUGGCUAGAGUAUGGGAGAGGGAAGCGGAAUUUCCGGUGUAGCGGUGAAAUGCGUAGAUAUCGGAAGGAACAUCAAUGGCGAAGGCAGCUUCCUGGCCCAAUACUGACGCUCAGGUGCGAAAGCGUGGGGAUCAAACAGGAUUAGAUACCCUUGUAGUC
Molecule: ribosomal RNA, 466 nt
Filed under: uncultured bacterium
Lineage: Bacteria
Description: bacterial SSU rRNA
Rfam family: Bacterial small subunit ribosomal RNA
Source: RNAcentral